This 422-nucleotide ribosomal RNA is filed under the name Laparocerus lepidopterus. RNAcentral's name for it is "partial 16S ribosomal RNA". Lineage: Eukaryota; Metazoa; Arthropoda; Insecta; Coleoptera; Curculionidae. The record is from RNAcentral. RNAcentral also lists the same sequence under 2 other names.
GGUAUUUUGACCGUGCAAAGGUAGCAUAAUCAUUAGUUUUUUAAUUGAAAGCUGGAAUGAAAGGUUGGAUGAAAAAUAAGCUGUCUCUAUUUAAAUUUAUUAGAAUUUUAUUUUUAAGUUAAAAAGCUUAAAUUUUAAUAGAAGACGAGAAGACCCUAUAGAGUUUUAUUUAUUUAAUAAAUAAAAAUAAUAGUAUUAAUUAUUUUUAUUUAUUAAAUAAAUUUAGUUGGGGUGAUUGAAAAAUUUAAUGAACUUUUUUUAUAUAUAUACAUUGAUUUAUGAUUAUUUGAUCCUUAGUUUAAGAUUAAAAGAUAAAAUUACCUUAGGGAUAACAGCGUAAUUUUUUUUGAGAGUUCUAAUCGAAAGAAAAGAUUGCGACCUCGAUGUUGGAUUAAAAUAAAAUUUUGGUGUAGAAGCUAAAA